GCCCGGGUAGCACAGUGGUAGCUGCGCCUGCCUAGUAAGCAGGAGGAGGUCCGCGGUUCGAUCCCGCGCUGGGCA
This 75-nucleotide transfer RNA is filed under the name Niveomyces insectorum RCEF 264. RNAcentral's name for it is "Sporothrix insectorum RCEF 264 tRNA". It matches the Rfam family "tRNA". Rfam says of the family: Transfer RNA (tRNA) molecules are approximately 80 nucleotides in length. Their secondary structure includes four short double-helical elements and three loops (D, anti-codon, and T loops). Further hydrogen bonds mediate the characteristic L-shaped molecular structure. tRNAs have two regions of fundamental functional importance: the anti-codon, which is responsible for specific mRNA codon recognition, and the 3' end, to which the tRNAs corresponding amino acid is attached (by aminoacyl-tRNA synthetases). tRNAs cope with the degeneracy of the genetic code in two manners: having more than one tRNA (with a specific anti-codon) for a particular amino acid; and 'wobble' base-pairing, i.e. permitting non-standard base-pairing at the 3rd anti-codon position. Lineage: Eukaryota; Fungi; Ascomycota; Sordariomycetes; Hypocreales; Cordycipitaceae. The record is from Rfam by way of RNAcentral.